RNAcentral lists this ribosomal RNA (380 nucleotides) under uncultured bacterium. Its description in RNAcentral is "bacterial SSU rRNA". It matches the Rfam family "Bacterial small subunit ribosomal RNA", at positions 29 to 400 of the family's 1533-position model. The record is from RNAcentral.
AAUGAACGCUGGCGGCGCGCCUAAUACAUGCAAGUCGAGCGAGAAGACGUAGCAAUACGUUUGUAAAGCGGCGAACGGGUGAGGAAUACAUGGGUAACCUACCCUAGAGUGGGGAAUAACUAGCCGAAAGGUUAGCUAAUACCGCGUACGCUCCUUGGACUUCGGUUCAGGGAGGAAAGCGAUGCCGAGGGUAUCGCGCUCUUGGAUGGGCUCAUGUCCUAUCAGCUUGNGGUGAGGUAACGGCUCACCAAGGCUUCGACGGGUAGCUGGUCUGAGAGGACGAUCAGCCACACUGGCACUGCGACACGGGCCAGACUCCUACGGGAGGCAGCAGUAAGGAAUAUUGCGCAAUGGGCGAAAGCCUGACGCAGCGACGCCGC